UAGGGAAUAUUGCUUAAUGGGCGAAAGCCUGAAGCAGCAACGCCGCGUGGACGAAGAAGGCCUUCGGGUUGUAAAGUUCUUUUAUAUGGGAUGAGGAAGGACAGUACCAUAUGAAUAAGUCUCGGCUAACUACGUGCCAGCAGCCGCGGUAAAACGUAGGAGACGAGCGUUAUCCGGAUUUACUGGGCGUAAAGAGCGUGUAGGAGGCAAUACAAGUUGGAUGUAAAAGCUCUCGGCUAAACUGAGAGAGGACGUUCAAGACUGUAGAGCUAGAGGAAGGCAGAGGUAGAUGGAACUCCGGGAGUAGUGGUGAAAUGCGUAGAUAUCCGGAAGAACACCAGAGGCGAAAGCGAUCUACUGGGCCUUAACAGACACUGAGACGCGAAAGCCAGGGUAGCAA
RNAcentral lists this ribosomal RNA (400 nucleotides) under uncultured bacterium. RNAcentral's name for it is "bacterial SSU rRNA". It matches the Rfam family "Bacterial small subunit ribosomal RNA", at positions 355 to 771 of the family's 1533-position model. The record is from RNAcentral.